Molecule: unclassified non-coding RNA, 6388 nt
Filed under: Megachile rotundata (alfalfa leafcutting bee)
Lineage: Eukaryota; Metazoa; Arthropoda; Insecta; Hymenoptera; Megachilidae
Description: transcription elongation factor SPT6-like, transcript variant X4
Source: RNAcentral
AAGCAAAGUAAAUCCUUUCCAUUUAUUUUUCCAAUUUAUUCUUAAAUUUUCUAUAAAAAUAUUUUUUUUCAAAACUUUCUGUAUUUGUAAUAAAAAAUGGCUGAUUACUUGGACAAUGAAGCGGAGGAAAGUGAGGAGGAGGAGGAACUGGAUAUAAACGAAAGGAAAAAACUUAAAAAAUUGAAAGCAAUGCAUGACAGUGACGAGGAAGACGAUGACGAAGAUGAGGGAGAAGUCCCAGGUCUUAUUGAUGAUAAUCCAAUUGAGGAUGAUAAUGAUGGUGAAGAUAGCGAUGGAUCAGAAAGGUCUGGAAAACGGAAGAAAAGUGAUGAUGAAGAUUUUGAUGAUCGUUUGGAAGAUGAAGACUAUGAUCUGUUAGAAGAAAAUUUAGGAGUCAAAGUUGAAAGGAAACGUCGUUUUAAGCGUUUACGUAGGAUACAAGAUGAAGAAUCAGAAGAGGAGGAAGACAGGGAGGCAGGUGACGAAAGAGAUGCAAUUGCUAAUGAACUAUUUACAGGCUCUGGAGAAGAAGAUGAGGCAAGAAGUGAAGUUAGUCAUAGACCUGAAGUGGAAGCAUUUGACGAAGAAGAGAGUGAAGAUGAAGAUGACUUUAUUGUAGAUGGUGAUGGAGUACCUAUAGCUGAAAAAAGAAAGAAAAGGAAACCAAUUUUCACAGAUGCGGCCUUACAAGAAGCUCAAGAUAUUUUUGGUAUCGAUUUUGAUUAUGAUGAGUUUGAAAAAUAUGGAGAAGAUGAGUUUGAAGAAGAAGAAGAGGAUGAUGAUCUUGAAUAUCUUCAUGAGUCGGGAGAAGAUCGACCUAGACGAUCGAAGAAGCUUCUUAAGAAAAAAAGCACGAAGAAAAGCAUUUUCGAAGUGUAUGAACCUAGUGAACUUAUUCGUGGACAUUUCACGGAUAUUGAUAAUGAGAUCCGCACUACAGACAUUCCUGAACGUAUGCAACUUCGUACUGUACCAAUUACACCAACAGCCGAAGGUUCUGAUGAGUUAGACCUUGAGGCAGAAUGGAUAUACAAACAGGCAUUCUGUCAACCCACGAUUUCAGUACAAGAUGCUCAUUUAAAUGAAGAAGCCAAAGAAAGAGCUAAAAAGGGUCCACAAACAGUCGGCAAAAUUAAAAAAGCUUUAGAUUUUAUGCGCAAUCAAAACUUUGAAGUUCCUUUCAUCUCGUUUUAUAGGAAAGAGUAUGUCCUGCCGGAAUUGAAUAUUAACGAUUUAUGGAAAAUAUACAAAUUCGACGCAAAAUGGUGUCAGCUUAAACAAAGGAAGGAAAAUUUAUUGAAAUUGUUUGACAAAAUGAGAAACUACCAAUUGGACGAGAUCAUGAAAAAUCCUGAUGCUCCGUUGCCCGAAAAUGUACGGAUUAUUAAAGAUGAGGACAUCGAGCGCCUUAGAAAUGCUCAGACUUUCGAAGAAUUGAAUGAUAUUUAUCGACACUUUAUGCUUUACUAUAGUCAGGAUGUGUCGGCGAUGCAAGAACAUACACGUAAAAAGGAAAAAGAAGAUCGGAAAAAAACUAGGCUUGAAAAAAGGAGGCAGCAAAUUGCGGAAGCUGAAGAAAAUGGGGAAGAACCUCCUGAAGAGCUUGUUGCUGCGGAAGAUGACGAUGAAGAGGCAGAUGAUACAUUAAAACAGCCAGUUAGGAAAGGCCCUUAUUUUAUAUGUAAGAAGGCUGGUUUGGAUAGUCUUGCUAAAAAGUUCGGUCUCUCUCCAGAACAUUUUGCCGAGAAUCUUAGAGAUAAUUACCAACGUCACGAAGUAGAUCAAGAACCACUAGAACCUACAGUAGUAGCAAAUGAAUUUUGUUCAACGACCUUUAAGACGAACGAUGAUGUGCUUAAUGCUGUACAAUUAAUGGUCGCGAUUCAAUUAGCACAUGAACCAUUGGUACGUAAGUGUGUUAGAGAAAUGUACAUGGAAAGAGCCAAAAUAUCCGUAAUACCAACUAAAAAAGGAAUAAAAGAAAUUGAUGAAAAUCAUGUACUUUAUGGAGUGAAAUACCUUAAAGAUAAGCCUGUACGAGAUCUCGUUGGUGAUCAAUUUUUAAAAUUAUUUAUAGCGGAACAGGACAAAUUGAUCACUAUUUCCUUUAGUGACAUUAUAGAAGGAAAUACUACUAACAACUACAUCGAUGAGAUAAAACAAUUGUAUUACAGAGAUGAAUUUAGUAAGAGUGUUCAAGAUUGGAACGCUCUAAGAACUGGUAGUGUUGAAGCGGCUUUAAAUCGUAUUAUUAUACCACAGUUGAAAAAAGAAUUACGAUCUAAUCUUUUAACAGAGUCAAAAGAAUGCGUCAUGAAGGCCUGUUGUCGUAAAAUGUAUAAUUGGAUUAAAAUUGCUCCGUAUACUUGUGAAUUCCCUGAAGAAGACGACGAAGAUUGGAAUACUAGUAGAGGAAUUCGCGUAAUGGGUUUGGCUUAUGUACCUGAUACAUCUCAAUCCGCUUUUGCGUGUGUAGUUUCUCCAGAAGGAGAAUGUACAGAUUACCUGAGGUUACCGCAUUUAAUGAAACGCAAGAACAGUUUUAAGGAAAAUGAAAAGAUGAUGAAGGAAGCUGAUUUGUUAGCGAUUAGGAAUUUCAUCGCUACAAAAAAGCCGCACGUUGUGGUGAUAGGUGGUGAAUCUAGAGAAGCAUUAAUGAUAGCGGCUGAUGUGAAAGAAUGUAUUACUAAUCUAGCAGAAGAUGAACAAUUCCCUACGAUUCAAGUAGAGAUAGUAGAUAAUGAGCUUGCGAAAGUUUACGCAAAUAGCAAUAGAGGUGUCUCUGAAUUCAGAGAUUAUCCAGAUUUGUUGAGGCAAGCUGUGUCUUUAGCAAGAAGAUUACAAGAUCCUUUGUUAGAGUUUUCACAAUUAUGUACUAUAGAUGAAGAAAUUAUGUGCCUUAAAUAUCAUCCUUUACAAGAUCAACUUCCUAAAGAGGAUCUUAUAGAGAAUAUUUAUUUAGAAUUUAUAAAUCGUAUAAACGAAGUGGGGGUAGAUUUGAAUAGAGCAGUACAACAGCCUUACACGGCAAAUUUAGUACAAUUUGUGUGCGGUUUGGGUCCUAGGAAAGGGCAAGCUUUGAUUAAGAUCUUGAAACAGACCAAUCAAAGACUAGAAAAUAGGACGCAGCUUAUUACAGCGUGUCACAUGGGACCGAAAGUUUUCGUCAAUUGUGCUGGAUUUAUUAAAAUAGAUACAAAUAGUUUAGGGGACAGCACAGAGGCAUAUGUGGAAGUGUUAGAUGGAUCCCGUGUGCAUCCAGAAACUUACGAAUGGGCAAGAAAAAUGGCAGUAGAUGCUUUAGAAUACGAUGACGAGGACGCAAAUCCUGCUGGUGCUCUAGAAGAAAUCCUUGAAUCACCAGAAAGAUUGAAGGAUCUGGAUCUAGAUGCAUUUGCAGAAGAGCUUGAGAGGCAGGGUUUUGGAAACAAGUGUAUUACUCUUUAUGAUAUAAGAGCUGAACUGAAUUCUAGAUAUAAAGAUCUUCGAGUACCUUAUCAAUCUCUAAGUGCUGAAAAACUGUUUGAUAUUCUUACAAAAGAGACUCCAGAAACAUUUUACGUUGGCAAAUUAGUCCUGGCAACGGUCGUUGGAAUAACUCACAGAAAACCACAAGGAGAUCAACUGGAUCAAGCAAAUCCUGUUAGAAACGACGAGACUGGUUUAUGGCAAUGUCCGUUCUGUUUGAAAAAUGAUUUUCCCGAAUUGUCCGAAGUAUGGAACCACUUUGAUGCUGGUGCAUGUCCAGGAAAAGCAACAGGAGUUCGCUUGAGAUUAGAUAAUGGGAUAUCUGGUUACAUUCAUGUGAAAAAUUUGUCGGAUAAACAUGUUGCUAAUCCAGAGGAGAGAGUGCGCGUUGGUCAAGUAAUUCAUUGCCGCAUAAUAAAAAUAGAAGUGGAAAGAUUCAGUAUUGAAUGUACUAGUAAAUCAAGCGAUCUUCUUGAUAAAAACCAUGAAUGGCGACCACAAAGGGACGUUUAUUAUGAUACAGAGGCAGAGGAAAGAGAUUUGAAAGUGGAAGAAGAUGCUAAAAAGGUACAGCAAAGGCAGACCUAUGUGAAACGUGUCAUAAUUCAUCCCAGUUUUCAUAACAUAAGCUUUGCUGAAGUUGAAAAAUUAAUGCAAACCGUGAAACAAGGAGAGGCGAUCAUAAGACCAAGCAGUAAAGGAUCUGAUCAUUUGACAGUAACGUGGAAAGUUACUGACAAUAUUUACCAACACAUUGAUGUAAGAGAGGAAGGCAAGGAAAACACAUUCUCCUUGGGUCGUAGUUUAUGGAUUGGCAGUGAAGAAUUUGAAGAUUUAGACGAAAUUAUUGCAAGGCACAUCAAUCCAAUGUCUGCAUAUGUUUCGGAACUUUUAGAUUUUAAAUAUUAUAAAUCAAAUGUCGAGGGUAUCAAGGAUAAAGCAGAAGAAAUUUUAAAAGAACAGAAAAAACAAAAUCCUGGUGGAAUACCAUAUAUUGUAUCUGCUGCUAAGAAUUAUCCUGGAAAAUUCAUGCUUUCGUACUUACCACGAACUCGUUGUCGUCAUGAGUAUGUAACCAUAACACCGGAUGGAUUUCGAUUUAGAGGUCAAAUGUUUAGUAGAGUAAACGAUUUAUUCCGUUGGUUCAAGGAACAUUUCAGAGAUCCUAUACCUGGGCAAAGUACACCGGGUACUCCACAUGGAGCUAUGACUACCAGAACACCGUAUAAUGGUACUCCAGGAGUUAAUGGAGUAAAUUCGGACGCGAUACAAAGGGUGGCACAAAACAUGCCACAUCAUAUGCUGCACUCCCUUUCUAAAGUAGCGAAUCAGACACCACACCAUUAUCCACCAUAUACUCCAGGAGCUGCCAGUGUCACUAAUUACGGAUUGUAUGGGAGUACACCUUAUACACCUUCUGGACAAACUCCAUUUAUGACUCCUUAUCAUACUCCACACCAUACACCUCACCAUCCGCAAACGCCCAGUCAUUCCCAAGGACCGUUUUUGCAACCAAUUCCUCCUGCCAUGAAUGCAAAUUCCCACAGAACUGUCAGAUCUCAUAGAGCUGUCUCUUCUACCGAUGAUGCAACGAAUUGGUCAAAAGCUGCAGAGGCAUGGGCACGUUCAAAGCAAUCCACUUCUAAAGAAUUCAAUAUUACUUCAAGAUAUGAUGAAUCUAGAAAAACACCAAGAACUCUGGAAGUCUCUAACGAAAGAGCGACUCCACGUAACAGAACCCCUUCUGCUCGUACACCGUCGUACAAAUCUCCUAGAGGAACUCCGUUCACGAAUUCUAGUCCUCGUAGUAUGUCUCUUAGCGGAGAUGGUACACCUUUAUACGAUGAAAGUUGAGGCAAUAAUAUGAUCUGCGUUUAGUUAGGACAAUUGGUUACCUGAAACUAUAUUAUAUUUUAUAUGCAAAGAGGAAGGAUAAGUAAACUGAAACAGUUGCAAAUGAUUUUUAUUUUUAUCAGUGAAUUAUUCUCUACAGCAUUAAGUAUUUAUUAAAUGUCCAGGAUUCUUUUCUCACUAUACAUAAUAUUUAGAAUAUUCUACCUCAAUGAAUUUUCAUUUUCAAACAAUAAUAAUACACUUAUAUAUAUAUAUAUGUGUGUUUGCUCAAUAUAACAUAACUAUCAUUUAGUUCUAUAAAUCAUGACAAUGAAGAUGAGAACGCUGCCCUAUUCAAGAAAUAUAUACAUAUAAGUUGUAUUUGUACAAUAAUCAAUUUGAUACAAAUGUAUUACUAUAAGCAUAUGCAAUUUUGACGUAUAUAUUUUACUAUGGGAAAUUAGUAAUAUUAAAAAUAUAAUAAGUAAAACGUCUUCUUCUUUAACCAUUAUUGCUUCAAAAAGUUUACUUAAAACAAUGUAUUAAUUCAUUUAGUUUCAAAAGUUCUUAGCAAGUAUUAUAUUUUACUGUUUUCGUAUUAAAAUAUGUAGACAGGUAUAAAUGUUUUGUUACAUUAGUUUGACCAUUACAGUAAAUAAUAUCAGUAUGUAGUUUAAUUUGGAAACCUAAUCGGCAAACGUUAGGUAAACAAAAUUGUAUAAUUUGGAAUAGUUAGCGACGAUGAAAUUAGGGACAAUUAGUUGAAGUAUAAACGAAUACAUAGUGUCUUGGAAAAGCAUCGAAACCAGUUAUAACGACUCGACCAUAUUUGGAAUACAUUUUUAUAUUCUUAUGGUCGCACAACGGUCACAACUUCCCACACGUUGGUACGCACGUUACCGGAGAUGCAGACACAUGAUUCAUCCAGAAUGAAUCUUUUUUAAAUGGUGUGACCGUGUGGUAGUCAAAAAUACGCACAUGUAUAUUGUAACAAAGCGUCUGCUAUUGUAACAUAUAUAAUGUAGCCAUUUAUUACAAGUUAUUAUAUUUGUAAAAAUUGUGUAAAAUAUAUCAUGAUGAUUAUAAA